GUGUGUGUAGGGGGGGGGGUGUGUAGGGGUGUGUGUGUGUGUGUGUGUAGGGGUGAUGAUCACAUGAUGAUCAUGGUAACUGAUAUUAAACUGACACCUUACACACAUGAUGAUCAUGGUAACUGAUAUUAAACUGACACCUUACACACAUGAUGAUCAUGGUAACUGAUAUUAAACUGACACCUUACACACAUGAUGAUCAUGGUAACUGAUAUUAAACUGACACCUUACACACAUGAUGAUCAUGGUAACUGAUAUUAAACUGACACCUUACACACAUGAUGAUCAUGGUAACUGAUAUUAAACUGACACCUUACACACAUGAUGAUCAUGGUAACCAUAUUUCACUGGAGCUGAACUCCUGGUGUGUCAGGAGGUAUUUCACUGGAGCUGAACUCCUGGUGUGUCAGGAGGUAUUUCACUGGAGCUGAACUCCUGGUGUGUCAGGAGGUAUUUCACUGGAGCUGAACUCCUGGUGUGUCAGGAGGUAUUUCACUGGAGCUGAACUCCUGGUGUGUCAGGAGGUAUUUCACUGGAGCUGAACUCCUGGUGUGUCAGGAGGUAUUUCCAUACAAACUGUAAGUGGGGCCCCAUUCCCUUAUGGUCAACUACUCUAGACCAGGGCCCCAGUGCACUUCAAAGAGGAUGGGGAGCUAUUUAGGACGUAGACAGAGUGUGAGAUGUGCAGUGAUUGGUUUAAAGAUAAUCUAAUCAUAUCUAGUGGUGUGAGAUGUGCAGUGAUUGGUUUAAAGCUAAUCAGAUGUAGUGGUGUGAGAUGUGCAGUGAUUGGUUUAAAGAUAAUCAGAUGUAGUGGUGUGAGAUGUGCAGUGAUUGGUUUAAAGAUAAUCAGAUGUAGUGGUGUGAGAUGUGCAGUGAUUGGUUUAAAGCUAAUCAGAUGUAGUGGUGUGAGAUGUGCAGUGAUUGGUUUAAAGCUAAUCAGAUGUAGUGGUGUGAGAUGUGCAGUGAUUGGUUUAAAGCUAAUCAGAUGUAGUGGUGUGAGAUGUGCAGUGAUUGGUUUAAAGAUAAUCCAAUCAGUUCUAGUGGUGUGUUUUGUGUGACUCAUGUCUAAAUGAAUCAAUUGUCUCCAAUGCUGCCUGUUUGAAGGUCAAAUCGGGAGAAACUGGGGAACGAUAUGACUGUAAUCCCUCUGAGCAUUUGGCAACAGACAAUAAAUGUCCUGCUGUUUAAUGCAGUCACGAUCGACAGUGUUGUUCAUAGUUUGAGUUGAAUCAGUAUGGCCAAUGUAUGAACAGCUCUUGUUUAUUAUAAAAGGUAUUUCUGUUUGUUCACCUGAUGUUUCCCUGUCAGUCUUUGACAGUGUUUGUCUGGAGAAAAUGUGCACUACUCUUGAAAGUGCAAAAGGUUUACCCUAAUUGGCUGUCUGCAGACACGGCUCUCUUCUAUCUCAAUAUAACAAACACACAGAGACAUGCAAAAGGUCAUCAGAUGAGAGGUUCGGGUGAAUCUGCUCCUCAAAGAGAAAUGCCACUGACCCGACUUUGGGGAUAUGAGGCAGGAGAGGAGUCCAGGAGGCAGGAGCAGCCCUGUUCCCUUAAAUUUUGACCUUUAAAAAAAAAAGAUUUUGUAACUCGAUGUCAGUUGGAGUAGAAGUUGUUAAAUUCAAACCCAAAUGGAACAAAAAAGAAUAAUGUUUGACUUCUGUUGAAUUUCCUCAGUGAAGCAUGUCUUUUAAAAAACAGGGUUCUGUGUUGUGGACAUGUCCUUAUGGUUCAAAUCAGAAAUGACACCUUUUAGUUUUUGUGUGAAGAAAAAUAAAGCUGAAAUUCUUCUGUU
Long non-coding RNA from Oncorhynchus kisutch (coho salmon), 1794 nucleotides. RefSeq lists it as uncharacterized. The record is from RefSeq and is a predicted model, not a curated record. NCBI's taxonomy places the organism in Eukaryota, Metazoa, Chordata, Actinopteri, Salmoniformes, Salmonidae. The transcript is spliced from 2 exons.